Molecule: ribosomal RNA, 396 nt
Filed under: uncultured bacterium
Lineage: Bacteria
Description: bacterial SSU rRNA
Rfam family: Bacterial small subunit ribosomal RNA
Source: RNAcentral
GAUGAACGCUGGCGGCGUGCCUAACACAUGCAAGUCGAGCGGGAUUGUGGAGUAGCUUGCUACGAAGCAAUCUAGCGGCGGACGGGUGAGUAACGCGUGGGCAACCUGCCCUAUACAGGGGGAUAACACACCGAAAGGUGUGCUAAUACCCCAUAACACCGAUGCUUCGCAUGGAGUGCCGGUCAAAGAUUUAUCGGUAUAGGAUGGGCCCGCGUCUGAUUAGCUAGUUGGUGAGGUAAAGGCUCACCAAGGCGACGAUCAGUAGCCGACCUGAGAGGGUGAUCGGCCACACUGGAACUGAGACACGGUCCAGACUCCUACGGGAGGCAGCAGUGGGGAAUAUUGCACAAUGGGGGAAACCCUGAUGCAGCAACGCCGCGUGAGUGAUGACGGCCU